UAUGGGAUAACUACUCCAAUUAUUAGCUCAUACCGCAUGAGAUCUACAGAUCAAAGCAGGGGACCUUCGGGCCUUAUGCUACUAGAGCGUCUGAUGGCAGAUUAGGUAGUUGGUGGGGUAAAGGCUUACCAAGCCUGCGAUCUGUAGCUGGUCUGAGAGGACGACCAGCCACACUGGGACUGAGACACGGCCCAGACUCCUACGGGAGGCAGCAGUGGGCAAUUUUGGACAAUGGGCGAAAGCCUGAUCCACCGAUGCCGCGUGCAAGAUGAAGGCCCUCGGGAUGUAAACUGCUUUUGUACGGAACGAACAGCCUGAUCAUAAUAUCCCCGGGUCAUGACUGUACCGUAAGAAUAAGCACCGGCUAACUACGUGCCAGCAGCCGCACUAAUACGUAAGGUGCAAGCGUUAAUCGGAAUUACUGAACGUAAAGCGUGCGCGGGCGGUUUUGUAAGACAGAGGUGAAAUCCCCGAGCUCACCUGGCAACUGCCAUUGUGACUGCAGAGCUAGAGUGCGGCAGAUGGAAUGGAAUUCCGCGUGUACAGUGAAAUGCAUACAUAUGCAGACCAACACCGAUGGCGAUCGCAAUCCCCUGGGCUGCACUGACGCUCAUGCACGAAAGCGUGAGACGCAACAGAUUAGAUACCCUGUAGUCCCGCCCUAACGAUGUCACUGGUGUUGGUCUUACUGACUCGUAACGAAGCUACGCGUGAACUCACGCCUGUCAAGUCCGGCGCAAGUUGAAAUCAAUGAAUGACGGGACCGCACAGCAGUGGUGAUGUGGUUAAUUCAUGCACGCGCAAACCUUCCCACCUUGACUGGCAGAACUACCUAGUGAUUUGUGCCGAAGAAAACUA
Molecule: ribosomal RNA, 858 nt
Filed under: uncultured Comamonas sp.
Lineage: Bacteria; Pseudomonadati; Pseudomonadota; Betaproteobacteria; Burkholderiales; Comamonadaceae
Description: bacterial SSU rRNA
Rfam family: Bacterial small subunit ribosomal RNA
Source: RNAcentral